This 267-nucleotide ribosomal RNA is filed under the name Triticum aestivum (bread wheat). RNAcentral's name for it is "partial small subunit ribosomal RNA". Lineage: Eukaryota; Viridiplantae; Streptophyta; Magnoliopsida; Poales; Poaceae. The record is from RNAcentral.
AUGUCUUCCUCCACCUCCUCCUUCCAGCCAACCCUCAACAGAGGAGUCACGGAGAAACUCUCCCGCACCAACUACAUCCUGUGGCGGACACAGAUCACACCGCAGCUGCGGGGCGCCGAUGUCUUCCACUAUGUCAACAACACGGCGACCGAGACGGCCAAAACCCACGUCACAAAAGAUGCCGCUGGGAAGGAAACCGGGGGGCUGAAUCCUCUCCAUCCGCUCUGGGUGAAGGAGGAUCAGCAGGUCCUUGGAUAUCUGCUCUAA